UACGUGAGGGGCAAACGUUGUUCGGUGUCACUGGGCUUAAAGGGUGCGUAGGUGGUUGCGUAAGUAACGUGUGAAAUCCCCCGGCUUACCCGGGGAAUUGCGCGUUAUACUGCGUGACUUGAGGGCUGUAGGGGAAUGGGGAACUCCAGGUGUAGCGGUGAAAUGCGCAGAUAUCUGGGGGAAGGCCGGCGGCGAAGGCGCCAUUCUGGGCAGUUCCUGACACUGAGGCACGAAAGCGUGGGGAGCAAACAGG
RNAcentral lists this ribosomal RNA (253 nucleotides) under uncultured bacterium. RNAcentral describes it as "partial 16S ribosomal RNA". It matches the Rfam family "Bacterial small subunit ribosomal RNA", at positions 524 to 776 of the family's 1533-position model. RNAcentral also lists the same sequence under 1 other name. The record is from RNAcentral.